Paramisgurnus dabryanus is the source of this 2126-nucleotide long non-coding RNA. RefSeq lists it as uncharacterized. Lineage: Eukaryota; Metazoa; Chordata; Actinopteri; Cypriniformes; Cobitidae. The record is from RefSeq and is a predicted model, not a curated record.
UCACUCUUGUGAACUCUAAUGUUUUCUUCACUGUUCACACAGAAACACUCACACAAUACUGACACCUACCAGAGAGGAAGAAGAAUUACUGCUGCACUUUUCCCCCUCUGUCAGUGAAAAGGCAGAACCAUACGUCAUAGAUGUCUCAGGAGGAUAUAUGGAGUGAAAACAGUUUUAAAACCUCCCACAAAUGCACACAAUAAAUCCAGAUGCACGCACAGUAAUUCACAUCUCCAGCACACACGCACGAGAAUUCACGAAUGCACAUUGAAAUCCACAAACACGAGUUGCAUCUUCCUGCACAACUGGAGGCGACAGUUUCAGGACCGCAGUUCUAGGACCAUAGGUUUUUAGUAACGACGCCCCCUAGCGAAUUAGGACCAGCAAAUAUGGAUGACAAUCAGAGUUGAAGUGGAGGAAUGUAAUCGAAUCAUAGACAAACAAUUGAGAAAAAAGGGAAGAGCAUCCAGUUGGGUGACUAUUAUAGGGCAGAACCAAAAGCGGCGAAGAUCGGUUCCGCCCGGAGAUGGUUUCCACCCAGGCCGAAUAUUUCAAGCACCUGCACUUCCUGGUUUCCAGGGGCAACACAAUCGGGACCUUACGAGCCACAGGUGAGAAGGAUUAAGGUGGUGAUUUACAAUUGGAGGACGUGUGAAGAGGAGUUGGCGGUCGAAUCCUGGGCGAGCUCUUUCCGCCUAGGGCGAACCAAACCACAAACUCCGAGGGAAAAGCCUGACGGCUCCGUUGAUCCGGGGAGCGCUUUAGAGCGAGCGGAAAGAGUGAUGGGCCGAAGAAGGCGAGAGAGAGGAGUUGCUGUUGUUUGUUAAAGGAGCACCACGGGAAAAAGUGCUUUUCUCUGCCGUUGUUGGGUGUUGUGAGUUCAAUGAACAGUUUGCGGCCCCACCGUGGAGAGAAGCAUGGGGAGCUGGGGAGUAAUACUGGAAGUUUAUAUAGACAGCCAACACUGUGAAGCAUUGACAUCGCACGUGAGUAAAGCUGUACAUUGUACUGUGCAGAGUGGAAGAGGGUAUAUUACCUAACGUGUGUUGUGAGUUUAAUGAACAGUUGCGGCCCCACCGUGGAGAGAAGUGUGGGUGAGCCGGGGAGUGAUACUGCAAGUCUAUAUAGAGAGCCAACGCUGUGAAGCAUUGACACCGCACGUGAGUAACAUUGUACAUUGCACUGUGCAGAGUGGAAGAGGGUAUAUUACCUAACGUGUGUUGUGAGUUCAAUGAACAGUUUGCGGCCCCACGGUGGAGAGAAGCAUGGGUGAGCCGGGGAGUAAUACUGGAAGUCUAUAUAGAGAGCCAACGCUGUGAAGCAUGGACAUCGCACGUGAGUAACGCUGUACAUUGUACUGUGCAGAGUGGAAGAGGGUAUAUUACCUAACGUGUGUUGUGAGUUCAAUGAACAGUUUGCGGCCCCACCGUGGAGAGAAGCGUGGGUGAGCCGAGGAGUACAAUUCAAUUAGGAGUAACGCAGGAGGUCCGACGUCCAUAUCUAGGUGCUUUUUCCCUCUACUGAGAACACGUCUAACCAGCCACACGACGAAUCCUGGCCGAAUUUGGCUAAGUCCUUAGUUCACUUAAAGUGCAUGGAGUGUCGUGGGUGAGUCUUUGUCUUUAUUGUGUGUGUGUACACCUAAAGCUUGCAGUGUAGUGCUGUGCUUGUGUCGACAGAAGCCACACCGAGUUCAGAGGAAUCGUGAGGAGAUUUCAACACGUUGAGGCUAGAGGAGCAUGAUGUAAAGACAGCUGCAAAUAGGACUUCCUGUAUACAAAGCGACAAGAUCUUUCUGGCUCUGAAAGAGGGCAGUGGUGAAAUAUAUCUACAAAUCAGUCCACGAACCUGAGGAAGAAAAGUUUAAGUCCCAGUCACCUGUGUAAUUCUUACCUCUGCUUACAGCCACGAACCUAAGGAGUGAGAAGGAAAAGUUCCAGUCACCAGCUGAGGAAAAGUAAAAGUUCCAGUCACCUGCUGAGGAAAAGUUAAAGUCCCAGUCACCUGUGAAAUUCUUACCUCUGCUUACAGCCACAACACAGAAGAUCCAAAUGCCCCUCCCCCCUUGCUAUGAAAGCCCGAGGACUGGGAUGUUUUUUUUUUAAUAUUUAACUCCCCUCCCCCUA